AUUGAACGCUGGCGGCAUGCCUUACACAUGCAAGUCGAACGGCAGCACGGGAGCAAUCCUGGUGGCGAGUGGCGAACGGGUGAGUAAUAUAUCGGAACGUGCCCAGUCGUGGGGAUAACGUAGCGAAAGCUACGCUAAUACCGCAUACGAUCUAUGGAUGAAAGCGGGGGAUCGCAAGACCUCGCGCGAUUGGAGCGGCCGAUAUCAGAUUAGGUAGUUGGUGAGGUAAAGGCUCACCAAGCCGACGAUCUGUAGCUGGUCUGAGAGGACGACCAGCCACACUGGGACUGAGACACGGCCCAGACUCCUACGGGAGGCAGCAGUGGGGAAUUUUGGUACAAUGGGCGCAAGCCUGAUCCAGCAAUGCCGCGUGCAGGAUGAAGGCCUCGG
RNAcentral lists this ribosomal RNA (390 nucleotides) under uncultured bacterium. Its description in RNAcentral is "bacterial SSU rRNA". It matches the Rfam family "Bacterial small subunit ribosomal RNA", at positions 30 to 420 of the family's 1533-position model. The record is from RNAcentral.